GACGAACGCUGGCGGCGUGCUUAACACAUGCAAGUCGAACGGAAAGGCCCUGCUUUUGUGGGGUGCUCGAGUGGCGAACGGGUGAGUAACACGUGAGUAACCUGCCCUUGACUUUGGGAUAACUUCAGGAAACUGGGGCUAAUACCGGAUAGGAGCUCCUGUUGCAUGGUGGGGGUUGGAAAGUUUCGGCGGUUGGGGAUGGACUCGCGGCUUAUCAGCUUGUUGGUGGGGUAGUGGCUUACCAAGGCUUUGACGGGUAGCCGGCCUGAGAGGGUGACCGGCGACAUUGGGACUGAGAUACGGCCCAGACUCCUACGGGAGGCAGCAGUGGGGAAUAUUGCACAAUGGGCGGAAGCCUGAUGCAGCAACGCCGCGUGCGGGAUGACGGCCUUCGGGUUGUAAACCGCUUUCGCCUGUGACGAAGCGUGAGUGACGGUAAUGGGUAAAGAAGCACCGGCUAACUACGUG
RNAcentral lists this ribosomal RNA (468 nucleotides) under uncultured bacterium. RNAcentral describes it as "partial 16S ribosomal RNA". It matches the Rfam family "Bacterial small subunit ribosomal RNA", at positions 28 to 507 of the family's 1533-position model. The record is from RNAcentral.